AUGGCAUACGAUAUGCUGCAUGAUAUUAGCAAUCAGAAGGAUUCCUGGAAAGUCAAGGUCAGAAUAAUUAGGCUAUGGGAUGCCAUUAACCUCAACAGCAAUGAACUUAUUAGCCUUGACAUGAUACUACUUGAUGAAAAGCGCACUAUGAUACAUGGCAAGGUAAUGAAACAUAUGGUUAACAAGUUUAGACCAUUGAUCCAAGAAGGUUUAGUCUACAUGAUAGCAAAUUUUAAGGUUAUGUCUGCAAUGAAUUUCCGUCCAGUUGAGAGUGAAAAGAUUCUAAAUUUCUUGCACACGACAAAAAUUCAAGAGAUAAAAGUUCUAAAAAAUAUCAGAAUAGCAGAGUAG
RNAcentral lists this ribosomal RNA (351 nucleotides) under Triticum aestivum (bread wheat). Its description in RNAcentral is "partial small subunit ribosomal RNA". The record is from RNAcentral. Lineage: Eukaryota; Viridiplantae; Streptophyta; Magnoliopsida; Poales; Poaceae.